This 303-nucleotide long non-coding RNA is filed under the name Homo sapiens (human). Its description in RNAcentral is "HSALNT0183667". The record is from RNAcentral. Lineage: Eukaryota; Metazoa; Chordata; Mammalia; Primates; Hominidae.
ACCCCAACAUGCACUCACAGCAAAUGGGCUAGAUAAUUCAUUCAGCCCCCAAGUAGGGCGUACUCCACAAUGACCACUUCAGAUGUGGCCAUGGAGGAUGCUGAACAAAGAAGAACUAUCCAGUGUGUGACGCCAGGGAGCCACCACUAACAAUAGCUUCAUGCCAAUGAAUCAUCCCUCAGUUGAGGACGACGUGCCUGCAGAGAUUCAUCAAGACUGCUCCAGCUCGUGAUUGGAAAGGGAGAGAAAGAAAUGCUGGGACAUCCAGCUGUCACACAGCUAACCGGAAAGCCAUGUGGUCAA